Non-coding RNA from Danio rerio (zebrafish), 72 nucleotides. NCBI's taxonomy places the organism in Eukaryota, Metazoa, Chordata, Actinopteri, Cypriniformes, Danionidae. The record is from Rfam.
GGGGAUGUAGCUCAGUGGUAGAGGGCAUGCUUUGCAUGUAUAAGUUCCUGGGUUCAAUCCCCAGCAUCUCCA